This 526-nucleotide ribosomal RNA is filed under the name uncultured bacterium. Its description in RNAcentral is "bacterial SSU rRNA". It matches the Rfam family "Bacterial small subunit ribosomal RNA", at positions 777 to 1301 of the family's 1533-position model. The record is from RNAcentral.
AAUAGAUACCCAGGUAGUCCACGCCGUAAACGAUGAGUGCUAAGUGUUAGAGGGUUUCCGCCCUUUAGUGCUGCAGCUAACGCAUUAAGCACUCCGCCUGGGGAGUACGGUCGCAAGACUGAAACUCAAAGGAAUUGACGGGGGCCCGCACAAGCGGUGGAGCAUGUGGUUUAAUUCGAAGCAACGCGAAGAACCUUACCAGGUCUUGACAUCCUCUGACAACUCUAGAGAUAGAGCGUUCCCCUUCGGGGGACAGAGUGACAGGUGGUGCAUGGUUGUCGUCAGCUCGUGUCGUGAGAUGUUGGGUUAAGUCCCGCAACGAGCGCAACCCUUGAUCUUAGUUGCCAGCAUUUAGUUGGGCACUCUAAGGUGACUGCCGGUGACAAACCGGAGGAAGGUGGGGAUGACGUCAAAUCAUCAUGCCCCUUAUGACCUGGGCUACACACGUGCUACAGUGGAUGGUACAAAGGGCUGCAAGACCGCGAGGUCAAGCCAAUCCCAUAAAACCAUUCUCAGUUCGGAUUGU